Long non-coding RNA from Dicentrarchus labrax (European seabass), 676 nucleotides. RefSeq lists it as uncharacterized. The record is from RefSeq and is a predicted model, not a curated record. The transcript is spliced from 2 exons. NCBI's taxonomy places the organism in Eukaryota, Metazoa, Chordata, Actinopteri, Moronidae.
UUUCCUGGUUAGAUUAACAGAGUGGCAGAAACUGAGGAACACCACAGAGAUGGUUGUGAGUGUUUUUUUGGGCGUUUAUGGGAAGACGAUCGACUUGUGCGACACUGAGGAGCAGUUUAAAAGCAUCACAGUGCUGCAGCUGAAGGAGAAGAUAAUAGAGACUAUUCGCCCUGAAAGCACAGAUGUAUCCGUUGCAGCAGAGGCCCUGGAACUGAUCUUCAAAGACAAGCUUCUGGAUCGAAACUCUGCUCUGCUAUCUGAAUAUGGAAUCCAACACAUGUCAGUCAUUCGCCUACCUAUAUACCCACAAGGGCCGUCUGUGGAUCCAGGAGAGGGAGACCGUGGGAUGGGUGACAAAGGGGGCAAAAACCGAAGUAUGGAGAAGCUGUUUUUUUUUUAAAACCUACUCUCGAUAUGUCUGUUCCCUACUGGGACGCAUUUUAGUAACACUCCAACGCUGCACUUUUUAUUUAACUGUUUUAUUUCAAUAACUGCUGUGUGACCAACUGAUGUGACAAUUGACACACUUUAUUUGUAAUGACCUAAAAACAGGUUGUUUGACUUAUCAGUUUCUGUAAAGGAUCAUUUUCAACCCCAGUGAAUUUAUCCCUAAAUCCCUAACUCAUCCCUAACUGUUUGAAAAAUAUGUUUGUGUUAAUAAAUGAUGAUGAAGCCA